RNAcentral lists this ribosomal RNA (2917 nucleotides) under Staphylococcus aureus. RNAcentral's name for it is "bacterial LSU rRNA". Lineage: Bacteria; Bacillati; Bacillota; Bacilli; Caryophanales; Staphylococcaceae. The record is from RNAcentral.
GUAACACCCGAAGCCGGUGGAGUAACCUUUUAGGAGCUAGCCGUCGAAGGUGGGACAAAUGAUUGGGGUGAAGUCGUAACAAGGUAGCCGUAUCGGAAGGUGCGGCUGGAUCACCUCCUUUCUAAGGAUAUAUUCGGAACAUCUUCUAUAUGUGAAUACAUAGCAUAUCAGAAGGCACACCCGGAGAACUGAAACAUCUUAGUACCCGGAGGAAGAGAAAGAAAAUUCGAUUCCCUUAGUAGCGGCGAGCGAAACGGGAAGAGCCCAAACCAAMAAGCUUGCUUGUUGGGGUUGUAGGACACUCUAUACGGAGUUACAAAGGACGACAUUAGACGAAUCAUCUGGAAAGAUGAAUCAAAGAAGGUAAUAAUCCUGUAGUCGAAAAUGUUGUCUCUCUUGAGUGGAUCCUGAGUACGACGGAGCACGUGAAAUUCCGUCGGAAUCUGGGAGGACCAUCUCCUAAGGCUAAAUACUCUCUAGUGACCGAUAGUGAACCAGUACCGUGAGGGAAAGGUGAAAAGCACCCCGGAAGGGGAGUGAAAUAGAACCUGAAACCGUGUGCUUACAAGUAGUCAGAGCCCGUUAAUGGGUGAUGGCGUGCCUUUUGUAGAAUGAACCGGCGAGUUACGAUUUGAUGCAAGGUUAAGCAGUAAAUGUGGAGCCGUAGCGAAAGCGAGUCUGAAUAGGGCGUUUAGUAUUUGGUCGUAGACCCGAAACCAGGUGAUCUACCCUUGGUCAGGUUGAAGUUCAGGUAACACUGAAUGGAGGACCGAACCGACUUACGUUGAAAAGUGAGCGGAUGAACUGAGGGUAGCGGAGAAAUUCCAAUCGAACCUGGAGAUAGCUGGUUCUCUCCGAAAUAGCUUUAGGGCUAGCCUCAAGUGAUGAUUAUUGGAGGUAGAGCACUGUUUGGACGAGGGGCCCCUCUCGGGUUACCGAAUUCAGACAAACUCCGAAUGCCAAUUAAUUUAACUUGGGAGUCAGAACAUGGGUGAUAAGGUCCGUGUUCGAAAGGGAAACAGCCCAGACCACCAGCUAAGGUCCCAAAAUAUAUGUUAAGUGGAAAAGGAUGUGGCGUUGCCCAGACAACUAGGAUGUUGGCUUAGAAGCAGCCAUCAUUUAAAGAGUGCGUAAUAGCUCACUAGUCGAGUGACACUGCGCCGAAAAUGUACCGGGGCUAAACAUAUUACCGAAGCUGUGGAUUGUCCUUUGGACAAUGGUAGGAGAGCGUUCUAAGGGCGUUGAAGCAUGAUCGUAAGGACAUGUGGAGCGCUUAGAAGUGAGAAUGCCGGUGUGAGUAGCGAAAGACGGGUGAGAAUCCCGUCCACCGAUUGACUAAGGUUUCCAGAGGAAGGCUCGUCCGCUCUGGGUUAGUCGGGUCCUAAGCUGAGGCCGACAGGCGUAGGCGAUGGAUAACAGGUUGAUAUUCCUGUACCACCUAUAAUCGUUUUAAUCGAUGGGGGGACGCAGUAGGAUAGGCGAAGCGUGCGAUUGGAUUGCACGUCUAAGCAGUAAGGCUGAGUAUUAGGCAAAUCCGGUACUCGUUAAGGCUGAGCUGUGAUGGGGAGAAGACAUUGWGUCUUCGAGUCGUUGAUUUCACACUGCCGAGAAAAGCCUCUAGAUAGAAAAUAGGUGCCCGUACCGCAAACCGACACAGGUAGUCAAGAUGAGAAUUCUAAGGUGAGCGAGCGAACUCUCGUUAAGGAACUCGGCAAAAUGACCCCGUAACUUCGGGAGAAGGGGUGCUCUUUAGGGUUAACGCCCAGAAGAGCCGCAGUGAAUAGGCCCAAGCGACUGUUUAUCAAAAACACAGGUCUCUGCUAAACCGUAAGGUGAUGUAUAGGGGCUGACGCCUGCCCGGUGCUGGAAGGUUAAGAGGAGUGGUUAGCUUCUGCGAAGCUACGAAUCGAAGCCCCAGUAAACGGCGGCCGUAACUAUAACGGUCCUAAGGUAGCGAAAUUCCUUGUCGGGUAAGUUCCGACCCGCACGAAAGGCGUAACGAUUUGGGCACUGUCUCAACGAGAGACUCGGUGAAAUCAUAGUACCUGUGAAGAUGCAGGUUACCCGCGACAGGACGGAAAGACCCCGUGGAGCUUUACUGUAGCCUGAUAUUGAAAUUCGGCACAGCUUGUACAGGAUAGGUAGGAGCCUUUGAAACGUGAGCGCUAGCUUACGUGGAGGCGCUGGUGGGAUACUACCCUAGCUGUGUUGGCUUUCUAACCCGCACCACUUAUCGUGGUGGGAGACAGUGUCARGCGGGCAGUUUGACUGGGGCGGUCGCCUCCUAAAAGGUAACGGAGGCGCUCAAAGGUUCCCUCAGAAUGGUUGGAAAUCAUUCAUAGAGUGUAAAGGCAUAAGGGAGCUUGACUGCGAGACCUACAAGUCGAGCAGGGUCGAAAGACGGACUUAGUGAUCCGGUGGUUCCGCAUGGAAGGGCCAUCGCUCAACGGAUAAAAGCUACCCCGGGGAUAACAGGCUUAUCUCCCCCAAGAGUUCACAUCGACGGGGAGGUUUGGCACCUCGAUGUCGGCUCAUCGCAUCCUGGGGCUGUAGUCGGUCCCAAGGGUUGGGCUGUUCGCCCAUUAAAGCGGUACGCGAGCUGGGUUCAGAACGUCGUGAGACAGUUCGGUCCCUAUCCGUCGUGGGCGUAGGAAAUUUGAGAGGAGCUGUCCUUAGUACGAGAGGACCGGGAUGGACAUACCUCUGGUGUACCAGUUGUCGUGCCAACGGCAUAGCUGGGUAGCUAUGUGUGGACGGGAUAAGUGCUGAAAGCAUCUAAGCAUGAAGCCCCCCUCAAGAUGAGAUUUCCCAACUUCGGUUAUAAGAUCCCUCAAAGAUGAUGAGGUUAAUAGGUUCGAGGUGGAAGCAUGGUGACAUGUGGAGCUGACGAAUACUAAUCGAUCGAAGACUUAAUCAA